Long non-coding RNA from Anneissia japonica, 12810 nucleotides. RefSeq lists it as uncharacterized. The transcript has 5 exons. The record is from RefSeq and is a predicted model, not a curated record. NCBI's taxonomy places the organism in Eukaryota, Metazoa, Echinodermata, Crinoidea, Comatulida, Comatulidae.
GUGUGACUUACUUCCUAGCUUCCUGGCCUGCAUGCUGUCCUAAAGGAGGUAGAAAAGAAACAUGAGGUCAGACUUCAUGGAGAAAAUAUGAUCAGAGGGGGUCUAUGUAAGGGCCUACCGCUACGAAAAACUCUUGACAAGUAUCUAGGUCAAUAAUAUACUAAUGGAUCGAAAUUGCAAUAAAUUUGAAACGUCACUUGAAAAGAAGUAUUGCAUGAGAUGUGAUGUAUAACUAACUAUUCAUGGAAACUGAGAAUUCACUGAGGUGUCUUUUUGGCGGCAUUGUGUAAGAAAACAAGGAAUCUGGACAUUAUUAUAAUUAUUAUUAUUCUGAUUCUGAUCUGACCAGUUCUGUAAACUUGAACUUAGCUUCAACAUAAUGGAAUCAUCCAGCCAUAAUGCAAUGAUGCUUACAACUUCAAGCCUCAAUUUUCCUUAAAAUCACUGACGAUAUAAGGCGAAGAAAAGAAUAUGUAAGAAAUUAAUGGAAGUGGUAGAUGCUGUUUACUGCAGCAGCACACUGUCAAAGCCAUCAACAAGCCAUUGAAGAUACUAGAGUAAAGGAUGCCACUAAACCAAAGCCAAUCAAAGCUGAAUUUCAAGUCGCAGUGAGUUGGUGUCUAUAAAAACAAGUGAAAAUCAUUAGUCACAUAUAAACUGAUUAAUGUACAGUAACAUUAAUAAUAAUUAAUAAUUUCUAAAUGUACCGAUAUUCACCACAAGAAUGGUGCUCAUGGCUCUUUGUGAUGGAACUUUACAUUAUACAAAUACAACAUGGUUUGAGGUGAAGGAGUUUCAACAACACAGAGGGAAAAAGAAUAAAUUAACCUCUUCAAAAUAUGAAAGAUAAAUGUCAAUUUUGAUUUAGGGUAGUGCUUAUUCCUGGCAUGUUGUAAGCAUUCACGUGCAUGGAUGUAAAAUAGGCAAAAUACUGUUCACUGAGUGAAAUGACCAGUGAAAUGUUGUUUCCUAGUUAGUAUUCAGUAUAAUGAGUCUGAACACGUUUUUCUCUUACAAUUACAGCCAUUCUGUGGCAAAUUCAAUUGCACUGUAGUACUAACCGUUGGCUCCUUUAAAUGAGGCAUGUUGUGGCGAAAUGUUUAAGUUGUCGCACAGUCCAGUAUCGAGUAUUAAAUGAGCUAUAAAAUAUGGGAGCUCAAAAAAUUGCCUAAAAAUCUAAAUUUGUUUUUCACUAUAGAUCAACAGUUUAAUGUCUUAUUAAUCAUGUCCCAAAGUAUUAGUUCUGGAAGUGGUUAACAAAUUGUUUAUUUAACGUUAUUUUUCAUAGUUCAUUCUAUUAAAUCGAGAGCUUAGAGCCAAAAGUGCCUAUGUCCAAAAUUCAUAUUUCGAGAAAAAUAAGUUUUAAUAUUUCAUUAUAUCUAAAAAAUCAAAUAAUAUAACCAAAAGAACAAUAUUCCAGAAUUAUGUUAUUAAUACUUAGACAAAGUUGAUGCUUCGGUACUUAUAAGAAUUCUUCCCCUGGGGGUCCAAAAAAUUCAGAAAAUGGACAUAGACAAUUCUAGUCCAAAAUAGAAAUAACAUUAUUUGGACAUAAUAAAAGAUUGUUGCAAUGUCUGCUUAAUUUUCAACAACUUUUAUUAAACCAAGUGGUUCAAACGUUAAUUUUCAACAAAUAUUUCAUCUGCAGGCAGGAUCUUAAAAUAAAAUAGUUUGUAUACCAGGCAUUAAAGCAUGCAAAAUUAUCACUUCAGACCCGAGUUUUGUUACACCGAAUAGUUAGUGCAUUAGACAAUGUCUUCAUUAUCACUGUCUUCGCCAGAGUCUUCAAUAGCUGGUUCUGGUAGGUGGUCCUGUAUUCGACCAGAUGAAUUUAUGGCUUUGUACCAUCCAUAGAACUCUGCAGGUAUGGCCAAUUCUGUACACAGCUUCACCAGAUCCUUCUUCUUUGCGUUACUGAUUGCCCGUCUGGUAUCGUAGGCAGGUAGCAAAGCAUUUGGAACAACAGGGCGACCACGUCCAUACACGCAGAUUCUUGUGUAGUUUCCUUUGUAACCGUAUCUAUAACUAAUUAUUCCUGGUUGAUCUUUCCUAUAUCAAAAGCUCUUGACCAGCAGCCAGUUGAUGAUAUUUCCCUCUUCGUCCCGGCGUUUAUUUUUUAAAAGAUGUUGUGCAAGUCUUUGGAAAUCAUAGAAAUCUUGAUGCUGCAAGUUUACCACAUUGUAUGGGUGUUGACGCCUAGCUCUACGAAAGAUAGACACCCAGUCAUGCAUUGUAAAGACACCCAAUAGCCGCAUGCAUACUAUCGCAUUCCAUAUGUGAAUGUCCACUUUCCAGAAAGUUAUGAGUAAUUACGUUAACUUGGGUGUUCAUGACAGCAUAAAAAUCAUUGCUGCGACAUUCUGAUUGCGAUUUUGUCCUCCACACGUGUCAGAAAAUAAGGAAAUUUCUGUUAUUGAACAUGGAAGUUGGGUUAUCCAAUUAUAAAGACAAGUUCCUAUGUCAUUGCUUCCACGUCUGCCUUAAACCUCUGACCAGCAAAAGUAAUGUGCGUCAUUUGGUGGUGCUGCACUGUAUAUACAGAGGUUGUAUACGCAUAUUUUUCUACUGUAAUACAUCAGAGAACGUGCACUUGUGGGGAGUUGAAGGACACUCUGUAAGUCAAAUGAUGCUGAUACCGCUCUUGCUUUAUCAGCGGUUUUCGCGUCCUGUGCCUCUUUUUUUCUUGUAAUAUGAGAAUCAUAAGCUCCUUUAAAUGUUGGUUUUUGUAUUUUAUGCAUUGCGCACAUUAAUCUUUUUUGGGGUGAAAAAAUGAUAAGAUAUAUUCAUCACAAAAUAUCUUCCGGUAGAUUCCUUCUUUGACUGGAAUCACAGGUGGUCCAGAUGUCUCACAUUUUUCAAUAUACAGUCGGUACAUUUUCGAAAUAUUUAAUGUUUAAUCAAGAUAAAGUCGUCGAGUGUUGCUACGGGUAUAGUGCGAUUCUGUUACAGGAAAGCUUUCAAUGUGUUGUUUAACCUUUAUUCAGGCUUCGUCUGUAGUUUUGUUUAUAGGGACAUGUCUUCCGCAUCUAUCUGCUCCUGUGAACGUUCCAGCACAUCCUAAAUCUUGAAAGGCAGUGUUUACUGGGCCAUGACUAAUGUUGAGGGUAUUUAGAAAGAAAUGUUUGCAAACACGUUUCGGAGUACUAUUUUUUAUGAAUGUACGCUCUCCUCUAGGACGUUCUCGCUGAACGUCGUACAUCUUUACAUUUGACAGAAGAAAAUCUUUCUGACGGCAAUAGUCGCCUAGUUGCCAAUAUUCGUCACAUAAAUUUUUUCUCUCUAUGUCUGAGAAGCUGUCCAGACACUUGAAUCUGCAGUUUGCACAGUUUGAUGGUUGCGGAUACUUAGCAGAUUUUUGCCGACCUCUUGUGUCGGUAUGAGCCUUUCCUCAAUCAUGUGCAUUUUUUCUUAUAUUUUUUUUCCAAGAACUGCUAUCGGAUUUUUUCUUUCUUGUUCCUCUUUCUACAACAUUCGGAUUCUCUGGAAUGGGUAUUUGUUCCCCUUCCUGAAUGACAGGUUGUUGCCCUUCUUGAAUGACUGACUAUGCCUCUUUUUGAAUAUCUGUCUCUUCCCAUUCAUGAAUGACUGGCUGUCCUCCAUCUUGGAUGGAUGGCUCCUUAUCAUUGAAUGACUCUCCAAUUUCUAGCUGAUUGUCUUGAAUUAAAUUCUCUCCAUCUUCUGGGAUAUAAUCAGGGUCAUUGUCGGAGUCAUCAACUUCACUUCCACUUUCACUCUCUAACAUGUCCAGCACUUGAGAUGCGCUGUAAGUCUUAUCUAAAACUGAAAAAAAGUUGCAAACUGUAAAAGGAAAUUUUUAUGUCACCGAUGCCUACAUCUAAAACAAUUAGACAAAAAAUUGGGAAGUAUGUAUUGUUUAAAACAAGACCUGAAAAUGGACCCACAUGACCAGCAUGCCUGCAGAAGAAAGCUUUGUCAAUAUUAGCCUGCUCUGAGACCUAUACCCGAGGACUGAUUAACUUAACCUACAGCUAACCUUGGACUAGGGGUAUGCCAUAGGCCUAGGGCUAGACCUAAUGCCUAGGGCUAGGCCUUAGGCCUAGAACUAGGCCUACAUAAAUCAAGUACAGUAUGUAAAAAUAACAUUUAGUAACUAUCUGUAUUCAUUUCAAAAACUUACCUCUCCUAAGCAUUUUAGUGAUGGCAAUAACAAAAACAACAAUUGCAAGCUACCAAACAAGAGUGACAGACAAUGUUGGAUUUAUUUCAGAACCAUGUACACAACACAACAUAGGAUUUCAGUGUAGUAUAACUGUUUAUGUUCCACAUGGGCAGGAAUAUGUAAACAAAAAAAAAUUGGCCAAAAGUGACUAUGUCCCACAUAGACAGCUCUGGCUGAAAACAAAGUCCAUUGUAAUGGACAUAAACAAUAGUGGGUCUACUCUAGUGCCCUCUAUAUUGAAAGUGUGACUUGGACACAUCUGUCAAAAAAAUAUAUCGAAUUACUGUACCUAUUAUUUUAUGGACUUAACUGAUUUUUGCCAAAUUUGGACAUAGGCAGUUCUGGCUCUAAGCCCUCGAAAUCAUGUAUGCACAAAUGACUUUGAAAGGCAAUUACUCAAAAUCAUGUUUAUUUUACUCUAAGAGUACUGUACUUUCACUUUCCAAUAACUUAGGCUUGAAAUGUCCAAUUUGAAUGAAUGACCCCUCAUUUUAAAGAUCACAUACUCAGGUAUCUGAAAAUACCAAUAACUUGAAUUUCAAUUUUUGCUACAACUUUGCCAUUUUGCCACAACAUGUCUCAAAUGCUUGCUGUGAGAAUGUCUGCACAUUGUCAUGUUCACACCAAAAAAGAUCAAUCAUUUGUCUCAUCUUCGAUACUGUGACUUAUAAGGUCUAUUUUUAUUAUCAAAAGAACGUUCCUGCUCACUUGUCACUGUGUGUGUUUUUCUUAACAAAAGUUGUGACCAUGUUUAACAAAUAUUCAUUCAUAUUUUUUGGGGUUUUUUUGUUUUAAACUAACCUCCUCCGUUGUGCCCUUUCCAUUUUGUCUUUUUAUUAAAAAUUUGCUUAGAAACAUACCAACUUUCAAUUUUUGCCUUACCUACAAUAUAUAUUACAUUUUAAUCUGAUUUCAUCAAUAGUUUAAUGGUUUUAAAUUUGAAUAGUACAAAAUACCAAGUCUCUAUGCACUGCAAUCAUUGGCAACUUCAUUGAUUUCCUCUGGAAAUCCAUGUCUAUCGUUCUGUACCCUCAACCCAAUCAAUCAUCAACAUUCAAGUCUAACUAUGGCUUCUUUGCAUAUCAUCCAACUCAUCUUCACAUUCAUCAAUUCUUCUUCAUCAGAAUCUGGUGGUACAUUUCAUUAGGCUGUAUUGAAUCUGAUGUUUCAUUUUAAAAAUUUAACCUGUGAGUUUUAAGCGUGGGGACUGUUUAUUCUGCAUAUUCUGCAAAUGAAUACAUAUCUAAUAAAAAUUUGAUAGAAUUCAAUCUUUACUGCUGCCACCACCACCAUCACCACCACCCUGGCCUAAUAACAAUAAACAUGAUAAUGAAGUCAUGUAAAUGCUUGGGAUGAUGAUUUAAUGAAUUUGGUAUGGUAAUUUGUAAUUUAGUGUUGAUAAUGAAUAAUGUGUUUUUUCUUACACAGUAUGUACAUCGUCUUUCCAAUUCAUGUUGCAUUUUAAUAUUUUCAAUGCAUAACUCAUUUCCUGUGCGUAGCCAAGUCUUGCAAUGCUAUGUAGAAUACAGUACAUCAAGCAUGCUACACAAUGAACAAGGAAUAUGAAAAUAGGAUAUAUACAACAUCCUUAUUACUACUUAAAUGUAGCACCAAGACCUUCUGUUAGGCCAUCAGCUGUAUCUGAAAAAGUGGCUUGAAAACAUGGUCCUUUCCAGAAUAAUGUGGACUACUUUUUAGAAACAUGGUCCUUUCCAGAAUAAUGUAGACUACUUUUUGGAUGGAUGCAAUAAUGUUUAAAGGUCUCUGCAUAUACCUACAGUUUCUUGCUAGGACAUUAAAAAGCAUGUUCAGUUGUGUACUCCAAAAUGGCUGUUUUUGGGGUCUGAUAUCAUGUUUAAAUAAUCAUGCCUAAUUCAUGUUGAAUUGUAAUACAGUAUAUUCAAUGCAUAACUCAUUUCCUGUGCGUAGCCGAGUCCUGCAAUGAUAAGUAGAAUACAGUACAUCAUGCAUGCUGCACAAUGAACAAGGAAUAUGAAAACAGGGAAUAUACAAUUACAACAUCCUUAUUACUACUUAAAUGUAGCAACAAAACCUUCUGUUAGGCCAUCAGUUAUAUCUGAAAAAGUGGCUUGAAACAUGGUCCUUUCCAGAAUAAUGUAGACUACUUUUUGGAUGGAUGCAUUAAUGUUAAAAGGUCUCUGCAUAAACCUAGAGUUUCUUGUCAGGACACAACUAAACAUGCUUUUUGAUGUACUCCAAAAUGGCUGUUUUUGGGGUCUGAUAUCAUGUUUAAAUAAUCAUGCCUAAUUCAUGUUGAAUUGUAAUAUGUUCAAUGCAUAACUCAUUUCCUGUGCGUAGCCUAGUGUUGCAAUGCUAUGUAGAAUACAGUACAUCAAGCAUGCUACACAAUGAACAAGGAAUAUGAAAACGGAUAUAUACAACAUCCUUACCACUACUUAAAUGUAGCACCAAGACCUUCUGUUAGGCCAUCAGCUGUAUCUAAAAAAGUGGCUUGAAAACAUGGUCCUUUCUAGAAUAAUGUGGACUACUUUUUAAAAGCAUGGUCCUUUCCAGUAGACUAUUUUUGGAUGGAUGCAAUAAUGUUUAAAGGUCUCUGCAUAAACCUACAGUUUCUUGCCAGGACACAACUGAACAUACUUUUUAAUGUACUCCAAAAUGGCUGUUUUUGGGGUCUGAUAUGUUAAAAUAAUCAUGUCUAAUUCAUGUUGAAUUGUAAUAUGUUCAAUGCAUAACUCAUUUCCUGUGCGUAGCCGAGUUUUGCAAUGAUAUGUAGAAUACAUUACAUCAUGCAUGCUGCACAAUGAACAAGGAAUAUGAAAAUAGGGAAUAUACAAUUACAACAUCCUUAUUACUACUUAAAUGUAGCAACAAAAUCUUCUGUUAGGCCAUCAGUUAUAUCUGAAAAAGUGGCUUGAAAACAUGGUCCUUUCCAGAAUAAUGUAGACUUUUUGGAUGGAUGCAUUAAUGUUUAAAGGUCUCUGCAUAAACCUACAGUUUCUUGUCAGGACACAACUAAAAAUGCUUUUUAAUGUACUCCAAAAUGGCUGUUUUGGGGGUCUGAUACCAUGUUUAAAUAAUCAUGUCCAAAUCAUGUUGCGUUGUAAUAUGUUGAACGAAAACGCAUUUCCUGUGAGUAGCCAAAUUCAGCAAUGCUAUGUAGAAUACAGUACAUUGAGCAUGCUACACAAUGAACAAGGAAUAUGAAAAUGGAAUAUACAAUUACAACAUCCUUACCACUACUGUACUUAAAUGUAGCACCAAAACUGUACAGUACCACCAGAACCAUCUGUUAGGCCAUCAGCUGUAUCUGUAAAAGUGGCUUGAAAACAUGGUCCUUUCCAGAAUAAUGUGGACUACUUUUUGGAUGGAUGCAUUAAUGUUAAAAGGUCUCUGCAUAAACCUACAGUUUCUUGUCAGGACACAACUGAACAUGCUUUUUAAUGUACCCCAAAAUGGCUGUUUUUGGGGUCUGAUACCAUGUUUAAAUAAUCAUGUCUAAUUCAUGUUGCAUUGUAAUAUGUUCAACACAAACGCAUUUCCUGUGAUUAGCCAAAUUCAGCAAUGUUAUGUAGAAUACAGUACAUCGAGCAUGCUACACAAUGAACAAGGAAUAUGAAAACAGGGAAUAUACAAUUACAACAUCCUUCCACUACUUAAAUGUAGCACCAAGACUGUACAGUACCACCAGAACCAUCUGUUAGGCCAUCAGCUGUAUCUGAAAAAGUUCCUUUCCAUAAUAAUUAGACUACUUUUUGGAUAGAUGCAUUAGGGUCUCUGCAUAAACCCAGUUUCUUCUUUCUUUUUGAUGUAUCCCAAAAUGGCUGUUUUGGGGUCUGAUACCAUGUUUAAAUAAUCACAUUGUCUGAUAGUCACAAUUUUCAACAUUGAUGGAAAUUGUAAUUUUUAUUUGAUAAAUUCUUAUUGGCCUUUAUGUAAUAAAAACUGAAAAAUAACAAUGUAUUAUUAUAAGGAACAACUAAUUUUUCAACUAACAUGGUAUGUUUUUACUAACUGUUCCAUGUUGGAACAUACAGUAUUUCCUUUGUUGGUGGUUGGCUCUGUUUUGAUGUUGAUGAUAGACAGAACAUUUUGUAAAUGGCAACAUAUGGCAACAUUAACAUUUGUUAUUAACCUGGCCAUAAAACUUGCUUAUAAAUGAUUUAUAAAUGGUUAAAAUGCUCUUUCACUUCAAGUCUAAGUGUCUGCCGAGAUCUGUAAAUACUUUUAGAUAACUUUCUACAGACCUACAACUUGUCCUUCCUGUAGCAAUCAUAAAGAAAAGGUUAGAAGGCAAUGUAUCUAUAAGUGAUAAGGCUAUGCUCACAUCUGUGUCUGGACUUCUGAUGAUUACAUUUUGUAAUACUUUGAAGCAUGAUUUUCAUGAAGAAGUAACUGUGUAUUUGCACAUGGAGAAAAUGUACUGACACUUUCUUUUUUUUUUCUUAAAAUGUUUUACUUUCUUUUGCAAAAACACAUUGCAGAAAUAAUAAGAGAAAAUGUAAUACAAAUAAAUCAAAGCACUCUCAGUUGCUUCUAAUCAUUGCCAUUUGUUAAUAUGAAUGUAAUACUUAAGGUUAUUCUUAGCAAUAUUCUUUUCAGUUGUUUCUGUAAAAUAUACCCAUUUUCUAAUACCUGAGAGGAGUUUAAUUUUGCAAUUAUAAAAGUAUCUUUAAGCCAGAAUCAAAUUCAGACAAAUAAAAAAUUGCAUAUUUAUGUUCAAAAACUCAAAACACAUGUCAGUAUAUUUUAUGUUAACAGUAAUGUCUAAAGUCUUUUCUCAAGCCCACAUCAAAUGCUCCAUUCUUCUCUUUCUUUUUACAAAGUAAGCAUUUGUCUUCUGGUCCUUGCAGUAAAUUUGAACCGUCUGUGUUCUACUCCCUGCCCCCGGUAAUCGCUCAAGAUAUUUAAACCUUAUGUAAGGGUAUCACAAAUUCUACAUGUGAGCAUUAGUAUUUUAUCUCCAAGAUUGUUUGUUCCAGAAUAGCAUCAUUCAAUUCUCCAAUUUUAUUGUAAUGGGACAUCACUCAUACUGAUUAGUGGGUUUGCUUCUUCUACUGUCGCUAUGCACUUAAGGCCGUCAUCCAAAUAGAAAUUAUAAUGGAUUAAUUCAGUAGCUGCUUCACAUCUUUUCUCUUUACCAUAAUCUGUGGCUCUUCUUAAACCAAAGUUUGCACAAGCUGGAGAGCUCUUAGCACUGAAAAGAUGCACCUUCAUGCGAUGAUCAAUGAUUGGAUUCUCCACAUUGUUGGCCUUAUAGGAAUUGGAGCAGACCUGUGUCAAUCUCCCUCUGAACAAAUUGGUGGAACAUGCCCCUUAUGUCACAUAUCAAUGUGAUCUUCCCUAUUCUUAAUCUGAGCAACACACCAAGUAAAUUUUGAUCUGAUUUGGCACGUUAAGUAAAGGUCAUUUAACAAGGUUCCUUGAUAGGGUGCUGAACAGUAAUAACAACCUAUUUCUCAUCUGCUUUAUUCAGAAUUCUUCAGACUAAUUUUUUCAAACUCAUCUAAUCUCUACAGCCUAACCUUUAAUGCAGCCUUUUCACCGAUGGCCAUAAAUUUGAGGACGCAACAAUGCAUUGCUAAUAACCGAUCCGUCUCUUCUACACGGGCCAGCCUGCUGCUGAAAUACGUCCUGUGAAAAGGUCUAAUCUUUUUUUAGACUAUAACCGACCACUAUGGAAUCGAUGGACGAUAUGGAACCCACCAUAGAACUGACGAACGAUAUGGAACCCACUCUGGAACCGAUAAACGAUAUGGAACCGAAUAACGAUAUGGAACCCACGACUGCUGUGGAAAUGAAACUAACGACAUCUGCCGAGGACCCGCUGACGAACACUAUCGUAGACCUCAGGGGAAACGUGAACAAGUUGUUCGGCCGCUUCGUGGUGAGGGCCGUGACAUUGGUGCCUCUCGUUGUGUCCCAUAAAUAAAUUAGCGAGAGUCUGAGCUAAUGGUGACCCCAUGGUGACCCCAUCUAUUUGUUGAAAGUAAUCAAAUAAAGUAUCCAGAAGUUGCUAUUACCAUUAGUUUUCGAAGGAUUUCAGGUUUUAAUUUACAAUUGCUAUUGUUUUCCGUAAUAUAGUGUACUGCUAAAUCUAUAGCCUCUUUCAAUGAUGAUAUGUUCGUGAAUAAACUCUCAACGUCAAAUGAGAUCAUAAAUUUGUUAUUCAGUUUGUGAUUUUUAAUUGUAUUAACAAAACUGAAACUGUUCUUUACACUGAAUUUAUCUGGUAUAUGUGAUUGAAGGAGCUCACUUAAAAAUUUAGCUAAUUUAUAAUUAGAUGUCCCAAUUGUGGAAACAAUCGACCACAUUUUGUGAAGACCAUCUUCACCCAGCUUUUUAUGUAGUUUCGGUAAUCCGUAUAUUCUAGCAGGUGAUGAAACAUUAGGGUAAAUUUGUUUGUAUGUAUCAAUGUCCAACUCCCCAGCUUUGUGUCAUUUCCUAAGAACCGUUCUUGUUUACGUGUCGGAUUUAUGUUAAGUUUGGCAAAUUAUGCACGAUGCUUCCAUAUCGGAUUCCAUGACACAGCAGACUUGACCUCUUUGGUUGAAUAUCUCUGUAGAGUAGUUUUUACCGUUGCACCAACUUCAGCUGCUGUGGAAAGCUUCUGUUUCAAGAGUCAUCCAAUCUUCUUUAUAAAACAACAAGAUCACAAGUCUGCAAACUUAAUUUUAGACAUAGGCCGACUUUUUAACAGAGACUAUACUACUUUGGGGUUUUGGUAAAUCUACAUGAUUAAAGUCUGAGAGACAGCUCUGGUCGUGCAGUAGAUAUGGACUUGUAUCCAACUAUUGGUGAAAUGUUACUUGGCAGUCUUCUGGCUUGGGUUAGUUUAACACAGAUUACGUUUUCUUUUGUAAUGGUCUCCCUACUCCUCAUUUUUUGUACAUGGAUUUUAUACGAUGAGUAAGUUACACUACGAUACAUCGUAUGGAUUUCAUACACAGUAGACUUUCCCCUUCUGGGGAAAUUCGGUUGGAUGUCUUUGUAGAGUGGUUGCUACCAUUUCGCCUUCCAUUCCGAGAGUCCUCCAAUAUGAAUCUUGUAGAUAGAACAACACAAAACAUUAUAGUCAAAGUCACAUGUCUGUAAACAUAAUUGUAGACCUAGGCCAAAUCUUUAACAGAGACCAUACUUCUUUGGGGCAUAGCUCUGGACUUCUUCCAGUAGCUAGACUAUCUUGCAGUACAGUAGAUAUGGACUUGAAUCCAACUCUUGGGCACAGUCCGCCCAUCUAUUGCUGGUUGACCAAAUUUUUGUUUUCAUUAUGCAUUUUUCAGUAUCAUCCAGCAUAAAUUUGAAUUGGUGAGGUUUACUGUGGUAUAUGGUGUCGUGUAAAUGGGGUUUAUCCAGUCUUUGAUGUAGAAUGUUUGUGUUAUAAUUGAUUUAGUUAUAGUGAGCUUUUGAUGUUUCAAUUGAAUUUUUGAGAUGAUCAAGUGUAAAAAUACAGUGUUUUUUAAGAUGUUUGGUAAUGCAUGAAAACAUUUGGUCAAUAUCCUUGUGAGUGUGGCCUACAUAAGUCAGGUUCACAUGUCUCCAUCGAUCGCGAGUGGGUCGUGGUCUAGAUUGUGUUAGAUAAAAAAUUGGCCAAACUGCGUAUGCUACUGCUUUCGAGGCAACCGAAAAUUAAUUUAUGUCACAUCCCCCGGCCAAUUGGUUGUAGACAUGUGCAGAUCGCAUCGUGUUUGUACAUUUCGUCUAGAGAAUAUUCUACAGGAGAGUGUUUACAUCAUGUUUCCUUGCAAUUUGCUUCCAAAGGUCCUGCAACUGUGUUUGGAUUUGCCGUGCCGUCGUCGGCGAGUGGCCUGGUACAGACGAAAAUCUAACGUGUGCUUUACUUGUGUAUUUUUGUCUUAUUAUUUGAUUUCUUGUCUUCCACUAACAUUCUAAUCUCGGGUUUUGCCCAAAUCUCUAUCAAGUGACUCAUUUCUUCCUCAGUUCAACAGGCCCGAGCGCCAGAUUCAGUUGAAGUUGAAUAUUUAUGGGUGUUUAAAUGAAAAAAAACAUACAACAGCCAGAACGGCAACAAUUGUGAAAAUGGCAUUCUUAACAGAUGCAUUGUUGUUGACUAUAACAGACAGUUCGGAAAUGUUUUGUUGGUUUUCCCUUGAACAAUAGAUAUGUUUAUGUUGAAGUUACAGCCAAUGCCUCUGCUUUAGUUUGGACAGUUAAUCUAGUACACAAUUCUAUAAUCAGCUUGUUGAACUAUGUCCAACAGAGGGUGCUAUACAGAUCAUCUCUCCCUUUUUUGAGAUAGAAAAGACUAAGGAAAAUUAAACAAUUGUACAUGUACAUGUGUUAAAAUACUUAAAAGGUAAUAUAAUUCUGAGCCAGUACUGUAAAGUAGUUGCCAAAACAUUAGCAUUAGAAUAAGGAAUUAAAAUAUAGUAAGGUAGAUGAACAGUUCAUUUUGGUUUUGGUUAUCAAAAGUUCGGAGUUCUGUCCUUUUUAGUUUGAAGCUUAGAAAAAGUCUCUUUAACUAGUUGGGGCACAUUUUACGCAUUUGGGCCUAUUUGGUUUUUAUGUUGGAAACUGCCUCUUUUGUGAAGGACAAUACCCACAUGAUCAAGAAUGCCCGGCAAAGGGGAAGGAAUGUACUUCUUAUGGUAUAAGCUAAACCAUUUUUCCUUGGUUUGCCACUCAAACAG